AUGGAUGGACUUCUACAUUGGGAUUUCUUGCCUGGCCUUGCGGUUGCAGCUCAGGUGCGUCGUUGUUUUGGUUCCCAUGUCCAUUUCUCCCCAUCUGGAUAGACCAAAGAGUUCUUGGUUGUGUACUUCUCUUUCGCUUCCUUCCCUCUCACUGAAGAAUCAGUGGCCAUUGCUCUACAAUGUUGCAUUGGUGGAACCCCUUCUGGACUCAAUGUCCAACACCUUGAGGGGAGGCAUUAUCCUUUUUUUUGCUUCCAAUCGGGUGGGACACUUCAUCUAUGA
This 282-nucleotide ribosomal RNA is filed under the name Triticum aestivum (bread wheat). RNAcentral describes it as "partial small subunit ribosomal RNA". The record is from RNAcentral. Lineage: Eukaryota; Viridiplantae; Streptophyta; Magnoliopsida; Poales; Poaceae.